UGAGGAAUAUUGGUCAAUGGACGGAAGUCUGAACCAGCCAAGUAGCGUGCAGGACGACGGCCCUAUGGGUUGUAAACUGCUUUUGUAUGGGGAUAAAGUUAGGGACGUGUCCCUAUUUGCAGGUACCAUACGAAUAAGGACCGGCUAAUUCCGUGCCAGCAGCCGCGGUAAUACGGAAGGUCCAGGCGUUAUCCGGAUUUAUUGGGUUUAAAGGGAGCGUAGGCUGGAGAUUAAGUGUGUUGUGAAAUGUAGACGCUCAACGUCUGACUUGCAGCGCAUACUGGUUUCCUUGAGUACGCACAACGUUGGCGGAAUUCGUCGUGUAGCGGUGAAAUGCUUAGAUAUGACGAAGAACUCCGAUUGCGAAGGCAGCUGACGGGAGCGCAACUGACGCUUAAGCUCGAAGGUGCGGGUAUCAAACAGGAUUAGAUACCCUGGUAGUCCGCACAGUAAACGAUGGAUGCCCGCUGUUGGUACCUGGUAUCAGCGGCUAAGCGAAAGCAUUAAGCAUCCCACCUGGGGAGUACGCCGGCNCGGU
This 538-nucleotide ribosomal RNA is filed under the name uncultured bacterium. RNAcentral describes it as "bacterial SSU rRNA". It matches the Rfam family "Bacterial small subunit ribosomal RNA", at positions 355 to 895 of the family's 1533-position model. The record is from RNAcentral.